Molecule: long non-coding RNA, 985 nt
Organism: Tribolium castaneum (red flour beetle)
Lineage: Eukaryota; Metazoa; Arthropoda; Insecta; Coleoptera; Tenebrionidae
Exons: 3
Source: RefSeq, a predicted model, not a curated record
AAUAAAAUAAAGAAUGUGAUAUAAGUUAUGUGAUUGAACUUUUUAUUGUAAAAACGGCAGCGGGAUUAUUUAUUGAAUAAAAUCAUACAGAAGCAAACCACAACCAAUGAACGAACCCUUCUCCCCACCUCUGGCCGAAACCCUAAACCCUUUCAACUUUCCUAAUCACUUAUUUACGAUUCUAUUCAACAUUAUUCUUCGUGGCUGCAAACGUCGAAUGUGGGUGAAGUGUGUUUUCGUCUGUGUUUAUUUUAUGACUAUGGAAGUGGUUAGUUAUUUCUUUUCUCUUUUUCUGGAUUUUCUUAUAGUUUUUUUAGUCAGUAUUCAAGCAAGUCCAGCCUGGCAGAGAAACAAUCACAUCGUUUUUCCGAACUCGCUAGAAGAGCAUGAAACUUUCAUUGCUCCAAAGUGUAGCGGUAACAAAACAUUUUGUGAGGACGUCGGACAUUACCCCAAAAAUAAAUUUAGCGUAAUAUUAGAAAACACCACAUACGGGGAAGAUUAUUUCAUGCCGCAAAGCACCGCCGAGGAAGAAUCUAUCAAAAAUCGAUUGUACGGAGUAACUGAAUAUUACAUCUGCAAUUCUCACGUCCAAACGCAAUAUCCCAAAGUGGCGCAAAACGUCAGAAACGAGUGGAAAUAUGUUUACAAUUUUGAUAACUACAAGCAAGGCGUAAGGACAGAAGAAUGUGUAGCUGAAACAGCUUGCAGAUCAUUCCAGGGAACGCCGCGGGAAGUUAGGACGAAGUGUAUGCAAAAGUACAGCGAUAUGUUGCUGUUGGUUGCCGAUGAAUACGGAAAACCUGUGUGGGAUUUAUUCUGGUUUCCUUCCGCCUGUGUCUGUGCAUACGAACCAAUUAUUAAUUUUAACCGAGUUUAGGAGAGUUUGCUGACAACUAAUUUUCCUUAAAUUGCGAUCAAUAGACGUGUCUUUGAAGCUGAAAUGUUAUACCAUUUCCCGGUACAAUAAAACUUUGAUUCUAUA